This 498-nucleotide long non-coding RNA is filed under the name Malus domestica (apple). RNAcentral's name for it is "long non-coding RNA (MDOM_LNC018454)". Lineage: Eukaryota; Viridiplantae; Streptophyta; Magnoliopsida; Rosales; Rosaceae. The record is from RNAcentral.
GGCGCCAUAUGUUGUCUGGUGAAGGCGGAGCUGCCUCUUCACCAAUGUUCAAGUCAAAACGACGAUCGGAAGGGCCAGACAUUUUUCAGAGGUGGUGAAGAAAGAAGAGAGUUGGACAGAUCAAGAUUAAACAAGUGCAAGAAGGGAGUGUUUACAGGAGGGAGCUCAAGUGUGUUGUGGAACAAAAUUAACGCCUCUAUAAAAAGAAGAAAUCAAAGAGGCGCUCCUCAGAGAAGCGUCCUCUCGCAAAUCGAAGAGUCGGGGCUCCGUUCUCAAACGUCUGAUUCUUUUCUCAAAAGAGGAGUUUCCUUUCUCAAAAGCCGGAUUCUUUUCUCAAAAGAGGCGUUUCAUUUCUUAAAGGCUGGGCUUGCUCAGAAACCACGAGCCGAACCCCGGAUUUCAAAAGAUCAAUUUGUCCAGACGUGUCGUCACUUGUCACACGCAAAUUGCUUUGCGGAAAUCUCGGGCAGUUUGUCGAAGCACCAAUUCAGAAAUCGA